CGAUAGAGGCGCGAAAUUGAUAAGUACUCUGCAAAAAGGGCGGUCGCCCGCGCAGAAGAAAGGCAAUAUCGCCGAAGCGGAUCCGCGCUCGACCGAAGCAGUAUCCGCUGGGCCAUGACGAAAAACGUCCUGGACUGUCACAAGUAAUUGUGGAGAGCUAUUGUA
Molecule: non-coding RNA, 165 nt
Filed under: bovine gut metagenome
Description: Lysine riboswitch
Rfam family: Lysine riboswitch aptamer
About the family: Riboswitches are metabolite binding domains within certain messenger RNAs that serve as precision sensors for their corresponding targets. Allosteric rearrangement of mRNA structure is mediated by ligand binding, and this results in modulation of gene expression.
Source: RNAcentral